AUGGCGACCGGCGCACGGGUGAGUAACGCGUAUGCAACUUACCUAUCAGAGGGGGAUAGCCCGGCGAAAGUCGGAUUAAUACCCCAUAAAACAGGGGUCCCGCAUGGGAAUAUUUGUUAAAGAUUCAUCGCUGAUAGAUAGGCAUGCGUUUCAUUAGGCAGUUGGCGGGGUAACGGCCCACCAAACCGACGAUGGAUAGGGGUUCUGAGAGGAAGGUCCCCCACAUUGGAACUGAGACACGGUCCAA
This 247-nucleotide ribosomal RNA is filed under the name uncultured bacterium. RNAcentral describes it as "partial 16S ribosomal RNA". It matches the Rfam family "Bacterial small subunit ribosomal RNA", at positions 88 to 334 of the family's 1533-position model. The record is from RNAcentral.